This 765-nucleotide ribosomal RNA is filed under the name uncultured crenarchaeote. RNAcentral describes it as "bacterial SSU rRNA". It matches the Rfam family "Archaeal small subunit ribosomal RNA", at positions 29 to 774 of the family's 1478-position model. Lineage: Archaea; Thermoproteati; Thermoproteota. The record is from RNAcentral.
GCUAUCGGGGUGGGACUAAGACAUGCGAGUCGAGCGUCUCUAGCUAUGUUGAGACGCGGCAUACGGCUCAGUAACACGUAGCUAACCUACCCUUCGGACGAGGACAACCCCGAGAAAUUGGGGCUAAUCCACGAUAGAUGUGAUGUCCUGGAAUGGUAUCACGUCCAAAGGUAUAUCAUACAUGUUUGACAUACGCCAAAGGAUGGGGCUGCGGCUGAUCAGGCAGUUGGUGAGGUAAUGGCUCACCAAACCAUUGACCAGUACGGGCCAUGAGAGUGGUAGCCCGGAGAUGGACACUGAGACAAGGGUCCAGGCCCUACGGGGCGCAGCAGGCGCGAAACCUCCUCAAUGCACUAACGUGCGAAGGGGUUACCUCGAGUGCUAUCUGAAGAAGGUGGCUUUUCCUUGGUCUAAAAAGCCUUGGGAAUAAGAGGGGGGCAAGACUGGUGUCAGCCGCCGCGGUAACACCAGCCCCUCGAGUGGUGGGGAUGAUUAUUUGGCCUAAAGCGUCCGUAGCCGGCCGGAUAAGUUUCCCGUUAAAUCCAGCGUCUCAAGCGUUGGACUGCGGGAAAUACUGUCUGGCUAGAGAGUGGGAGAGGUCAGCGGUAUUCUGGGGGUAGGGGCGAAAUCCUUUGAUCCCCGGAGGACCACCAGUGGCGAAGGCUGCUGACUAGAACACGUCUGACGGUCAGGGACGAAAGCUGGGGUAGCGAACCGGAUUAGAUACCCGGGUAGUCCCAGCCGUAAACGAUGCAUGCUAGGUGU